GACGAACGCUGGCGGCGUGCCUAAUACAUGCAAGUCGAACGCUUCUUUCCUCCCGAGUGCUUGCACUCAAUUGGAAAGAGGAGUGGCGGACGGGUGAGUAACACGUGGGUAACCUACCCAUCAGAGGGGGAUAACACUUGGAAACAGGUGCUAAUACCGCAUAACAGUUUAUGCCGCAUGGCAUAAGAGUGAAAGGCGCUUUCGGGUGUCGCUGAUGGAUGGACCCGCGGUGCAUUAGCUAGUUGGUGAGGUAACGGCUCACCAAGGCCACGAUGCAUAGCCGACCUGAGAGGGUGAUCGGCCACACUGGGACUGAGACACGGCCCAGACUCCUACGGGAGGCAGCAGUAGGGAAUCUUCGGCAAUGGACGAAAGUCUGACUGAGCAACGCCGCGUGAGUGAAGAAGGUUUUCGGAUCGUAAAACUCUGUUGUUAGAGAAGAACAAGGACGUUAGUAACUGAACGUCCCCUGACGGUAUCUAACCAGAAAGCCACGGCUAACUACGUG
RNAcentral lists this ribosomal RNA (508 nucleotides) under uncultured bacterium. RNAcentral's name for it is "partial 16S ribosomal RNA". It matches the Rfam family "Bacterial small subunit ribosomal RNA", at positions 28 to 507 of the family's 1533-position model. The record is from RNAcentral.